RNAcentral lists this unclassified non-coding RNA (875 nucleotides) under uncultured marine cyanobacterium. Its description in RNAcentral is "partial 16S-23S ribosomal RNA intergenic spacer". The stretch from base 767 to 875 matches the Rfam family "Bacterial large subunit ribosomal RNA", at positions 1 to 109 of the family's 2925-position model. Lineage: Bacteria; Bacillati; Cyanobacteriota. The record is from RNAcentral.
AACAAUGAUUUUGAUGUCUGAGUAUUUUAUUCUUAGGCCGAAAUCCUGUCACCUUAGGUCGAUCGGUACCUCAAACAUUUUCCCAAAGAUUGGUGAGCAAUCAUCAAGAGAUUGGAAAGGAUGUUCAGUUCCUAAACUUUGUCUAGGUCACACCCCGCAAGGGAAGAGUCUCCUGGGCCAUUAGCUCAGGUGGUUAGAGCGCACCCCUGAUAAGGGUGAGGUCCCUGGUUCAAGUCCAGGAUGGCCCAUUCGGUGUUGGGGGUUUAGCUCAGUUGGUAGAGCGCCUGCUUUGCAAGCAGGAUGUCAGGAGUUCGAGUCUCCUAACCUCCACUGACCGAACUCAAUCUCCACUGUCCGGUAACUCGGAGGAUGAACUCGAUGGCGUGUGAUUUAGAUGUGUCCACUAGAUAGGACCCUAGCUUCCUGUCAUUCCGAACAAGUGAUUAUUACUUGAUUGGUUGAUAUGAUGCUGGGUUCAGAUUAAUCGAAAGAUUAAUUUGAUCUCUAGUAGAACCUUGACAACUGCAUAAGUAAGUCUGGAAAAACGAAGCAUCUUACAGAUGCAUUGUUUUAAGUCUGAAUUCUCGAAAGAGAGUUUAGAUUUAGAAUGAUGAAAAUUCUUUUAAGCAAGAGCCGAGACUCUUAGAUGUUCUUUUUAUCGUGUCGAGCGAUAAAGAGUUUGAUUUUGUUUUUAUGAGCAGCGAAAGUUGCUCAUAAAACCAGAAGAAUCUGCUUUCAACCGCAGUAAGCGUUUAAGAGGUUAAUUGGUCAAGCUACAAAGGGCUCACGGCGGAUACCUUGGCACACAGAGGCGAUGAAGGACGUGGUUACCUGCGAUAAGUCUCGGGGAGCUGGAAGCACGCUUUGAUCCGGGA